UCUAUGCAGCUCCUCAGUCAACUGAAACCACUCGUUCAAGACAGCAACAAUCCAGAUAUACUAGCAAGUCAUAAAACUGAACAAAAGCCGACAAACCUUAGAGCACCAUCGCUAUAUGGCCCAGACAAAUUACGACCGUCUAGGGGGGGUUUCUGUGUGCUUGUCACGCGUUACCAUCGGUAACAUUAUUUAUAGACAAAGAAAAUCACUAAUUCCACAUAUUUAAGCAAAACUACAUUAAGUAAAUAUCUACAACCAGAAAGAGCGAGAGAAAUUCAGAGCUUAAAGGAACAAACCGGCCUCGGGGAAGGCUGCAGGAAGCGGGGAGGUUCACGCACGGUAUUUUGUGCAUUAGCGUGGCUACAGUCCGCCCCCCCUCCCCGAAGUAGCUCUUAAGAGGUUAAGGACAUAUUGAGAACGCCUAAAAUCGUUAAUCCAUACAGGUGCGGAUGACUACAGCCUAGGAAAAUGAUACUGGCUCUUUAAACCAUGUGUUUAUAGUUUCAUCAAGAGAAAUUAAAGUUGGCUGUGAGCUCCCGAAUCCUA
This is a long non-coding RNA of Apus apus (common swift), 546 nucleotides long. RefSeq lists it as uncharacterized. Lineage: Eukaryota; Metazoa; Chordata; Aves; Apodiformes; Apodidae. The transcript has 3 exons. The record is from RefSeq and is a predicted model, not a curated record.